AGCGAACGCUGGCGGCAGGCUUAACACAUGCAAGUCGAGCGGGCGUAGCAAUACGUCAGCGGCAGACGGGUGAGUAACGCGUGGGAACAUACCUUUUGGUUCGGAACAACACAGGGAAACUUGUGCUAAUACCGGAUAAGCCCUUACGGGGAAAGAUUUAUCGCCGAAAGAUUGGCCCGCGUCUGAUUAGCUAGUUGGUGAGGUAACGGCUCACCAAGGCGACGAUCAGUAGCGGUCUGAGAGGAUGAUCAGCCACAUUGGGACUGAGACACGGCCCAAACUCCUACGGGAGGCAGCAGUGGGGAAUAUUGGACAAUGGGCGAAAGCCUGAUCCAGCCAUGCCGCGUGAGUGAUGAAGGCCCUAGGGUUGUAAAGCUCUUUGUGCGGGAAGAUAAUGACGGUACCGCAAGAAUAAGCCCCGGCUAACUUCGUGCCAGCCGCCGCCGUAAU
This 450-nucleotide ribosomal RNA is filed under the name uncultured bacterium. Its description in RNAcentral is "bacterial SSU rRNA". It matches the Rfam family "Bacterial small subunit ribosomal RNA", at positions 29 to 524 of the family's 1533-position model. The record is from RNAcentral.